AUCAAUUUAGCACACUUCCACUGAAGAGAUGUGAAGUGUACAACUUACAAAACCAAUGUGCAAAAAUCUCUAGCAUUCCUUUAUACCAACAACAGGCAAGCAGAGAGCCAAACCAUAAAUGAAGUCCCAUUCACAAUUGACACAAAAAGAAUAAAAUACCUAGGAAUACAGAUAACAAGGGACGUGAAAGACCUCCUUAAGGAGAACUACA
RNAcentral lists this long non-coding RNA (211 nucleotides) under Pan troglodytes (chimpanzee). Its description in RNAcentral is "long non-coding RNA NONPTRT010607". The record is from RNAcentral. Lineage: Eukaryota; Metazoa; Chordata; Mammalia; Primates; Hominidae.